Molecule: ribosomal RNA, 497 nt
Filed under: uncultured bacterium
Lineage: Bacteria
Description: partial 16S ribosomal RNA
Rfam family: Bacterial small subunit ribosomal RNA
Source: RNAcentral
GAUGAACGCUGGCGGCGUGCCUAAUACAUGCAAGUCGAGCGAACGGACGAGAAGCUUGCUUCUCUGAUGUUAGCGGCGGACGGGUGAGUAACACGUGGAUAACCUACCUAUAAGACGGGGAUAACUUCGGGAAACCGGCGCUUAUACCGGAUAAUAUUUUGAACCGCAUGGUUCAAAAGUGAAAGACGGUCUUGCUGUCACUUAUAGAUGGUUCCGCGCUGCAUUAGCUAGUUGGUAAGGUAACGGCUUACCAAGGCAACGAUGCAUAGCCGACCUGAGAGGGUGAUCGGCCACACUGGAACUGAGACGCGGUCCAGACUCCUACGGGAGGCAGCAGUAGGGAAUCUUCCGCAAUGGGCGAAAGCCUGACGGAGCAACGCCGCGUGAGUGAUGAAGGUCUUCGGAUCGUAAAACUCUGUUAUUAGGUAAGAACAUAUGUGUAAGUAACUGUGCACAUCUUGACGGUACCUAAUCAGAAAGCCACGGCUAACUACGUG